CUAGGAGAAGAGGAUUCGAACCUCCAUUUAAGAGACCAAAACCCUUCGCAUGCCCAACUCACACUG
This 66-nucleotide transfer RNA is filed under the name Gonocephalus grandis (Giant forest dragon). Its description in RNAcentral is "tRNA-Gln". Lineage: Eukaryota; Metazoa; Chordata; Lepidosauria; Squamata; Agamidae. The record is from RNAcentral.